CUCCUAUUUAGUUAUGCAUGCAAUCUCACUAAACUUCGUGUACGCUGACUCAACCUCGUAACUAUACACGUGAACUGUGAACUUCAGUGCUGGGAAUGUAGUAUGUUUACGUUGAUAUUUCUGUAACGCGAACUCAGUUAGGUGUCCGUCCUCGAGCUAAAAGAGUCCUGAAUAAUUCAUCGGCAUAUUUAACCGGGCCCCGGCGCGCUCGUGCGUAAUACAACACAUUAAAAUGAUAUCUUAACAAAUACAUUGACGUACUAUAUUUGAAUGGAAGUAAAUUCACCAUAAUUAGAACAUUGGGUGUGAGAAAGGACGUGACGUGAGGUGAAUAACGACGUCUUUUACGGUUUGAAAAAACAUAUCCGCAG
This 371-nucleotide unclassified non-coding RNA is filed under the name Melitaea cinxia (Glanville fritillary). Its description in RNAcentral is "misc RNA ENSMCXG00005011330.1". The record is from RNAcentral. Lineage: Eukaryota; Metazoa; Arthropoda; Insecta; Lepidoptera; Nymphalidae.